This is a small nucleolar RNA of Callithrix jacchus (white-tufted-ear marmoset), 128 nucleotides long. The record is from Ensembl. Lineage: Eukaryota; Metazoa; Chordata; Mammalia; Primates; Cebidae.
GUUGGAUGCAAAACACCCCUGGCUUUGCCGGUGGCCACGGAUGAGAUUCAGUGCCCAGAGCUUCUGGGGGCCUCAGCUCACCAUGCACUGCCCCCGUGUGCAGUGAAACCUGACAGGCGCUGUGUAAA